This 450-nucleotide ribosomal RNA is filed under the name uncultured bacterium. Its description in RNAcentral is "partial 16S ribosomal RNA". It matches the Rfam family "Bacterial small subunit ribosomal RNA", at positions 354 to 796 of the family's 1533-position model. The record is from RNAcentral.
GUAGGGAAUCUUCCACAAUGGGCGCAAGCCUGAUGGAGCAACACCGCGUGAGUGAAGAAGGGUUUCGGCUCGUAAAGCUCUGUUGUUAAAGAAGAACACGUAUGAGAGUAACUGUUCAUACGUUGACGGUAUUUAACCAGAAAGUCACGGCUAACUACGUGCCAGCAGCCGCGGUAAUACGUAGGUGGCAAGCGUUAUCCGGAUUUAUUGGGCGUAAAGAGAGUGCAGGCGGUUUUCUAAGUCUGAUGUGAAAGCCUUCGGCUUAACCGGAGAAGUGCAUCGGAAACUGGAUAACUUGAGUGCAGAAGAGGGUAGUGGAACUCCAUGUGUAGCGGUGGAAUGCGUAGAUAUAUGGAAGAACACCAGUGGCGAAGGCGGCUACCUGGUCUGCAACUGACGCUGAGACUCGAAAGCAUGGGUAGCGAACAGGAUUAGAAACCCGAGUAGUCC